Non-coding RNA from Procambarus clarkii (red swamp crayfish), 2683 nucleotides. Lineage: Eukaryota; Metazoa; Arthropoda; Malacostraca; Decapoda; Cambaridae. The record is from RefSeq and is a predicted model, not a curated record.
UGUCUGGUAGAGGUUUUACAUAUAGAUCGCGUUUCUGUCUUUCUUCUGACUAAUAAAUAAUUUUGGUUUAAUCAGUUAUCAAGAUGUUUUCAACAAUAUUCUUUCAGCGUUCGUCUUUUCCAACACGGGCGACCCUUUUGAAAACGCGAUACUUGGGCUAACCCAUCCUAUACUUGGGUCAGUUUCCAUUAUGGUUCGGAACAUCCACAUCAACAGAGCGGCCAUUUUGUGGUCCGUGGCCCGCGCAGUCAGCGAGAGGACAAACGCUUCAUGCAAUCAUGCAAAUAUCAUGAUUUUGAUGCUGCAAACCAGAGAUGCAUAGCUGUGGAAGACACGUCUGAAGUGGAAACUUAAAACGAAGCUUCAGAUAUGAAGCAAAGAAUGCCAAGAAUAACAAAUAUAAGAGAUUCCAGAUCGUUCCAGAUUUCCAAAGUACUGAAACGCACACCAUACAGGCUUGGUGGAUCUCGGUGCAAGCUCCUACGGUCACCAGAAGAAUAAUACAUGCAGUGCCAGAAACCAGUGGCAUUGAAUAAUACCUGCAGUGUCAGGACCCAGUGGUAUUGAAUAAUACCUGCAGUGUCAGCAUCCACACACAGUGUCAGAUAUACUGCAUACAUGUUGUCAGCAGUAUUAUAAAACACAUUAUGGUGUAAGAAAUACUACAUGUAGAUGGGUAAGACUGUCUUCAGCACACUCGUGUGAAUGACUACAUGUAUUAUCAAUAUGUCAUGCAUUAUUAACAUCUCAUGUACUAUGGUAACAAAGGAAAUGUGUAUUUAAAUUAAAUUUGGUGUAUCAUUAAUUUUAAAAUCUCAGUAUUUAUUAAUUCAUUGUGUAUGUGGUACAGUAUUGUUUUUAAUACUAUUGUUUGGCAAGAAAACAUUUUAAGAUUUUCAUAUUAAUUAUUUUUAUUAUCAGGUUCUAAUAUAAAAAAGUUUAAUAUAUAUUUUAAGUUUUAAAACAUUACAUACUGUUUCUCCUAUGUGAGCCAUUGUAAAUGUUGAGAAAGCAUUUAAAAUAAAUAAUCUUUAUACUGUAUAGUAAUUAUGAAUUUUUUCUUAGGUAAUUUGCUCUUAAGCUCAAAAGGCUCUCCAAAUAAGAUAAAAUAUCAGUGUUCUUAAUGCUCAGAAUUUAUUUAUUUACAUAUUUACAUGAAUGUAUAGGGGAUUUAAAAAUAACAAUGUGCAUGGUACAUUGGAUCAGUAAGUUCUUGUAAAAAUCACAUACAUAUAUGUUUGCAAAUAACAAACCACAUGAGGGUCCACUGUACCUGACUCUUGUGCUGUGGUUAUAUUUAUAAUAAGACAUCCAUCAGUUCUGUGGUUAUGUUUAUAAUUAAACAUCCCAAAUUCUGUGGUCAUAUUUGUAAUAAGGUUCUGUAGUGAAACAUCUUAAUACUGUGGCUGUAUUUAUAAUAAACCAUCCCUCUCUGCUGUUGCUAUAUGUACAGUAUGAUAAAACAGUAUAAUUAUAAAUAAAUUUAUAAUAUAUUUAAUUUUCCUAUGCAAAGACAUUUUGCUAAAUCUUAAAAAAAAAAAAAAUGCCACAGGAUUUGUUUGUAAUGUUUACAAAGUUAUACACGGACACUAACUUUCCUGCUGGUGAACGCAUGUGGAGACGUAGAUUUGUAUGUUUGCUUUUACACUUGCUGAUUCACAGGAAAUAUUGUAGAGUAUAUUUUAUGUCUAGCACAUUUUAUAAUAUAAUAAGCACAAUAUUAUCUCACUAUUUAUGAAUAAUAUCAGUGGUUUACAUAUUGUAACUUUUUUCCAUUCUCUUGUGUCUUUGACAAGUAAUUAAAUUACUUUAUAUUCCUACAAAAGUUAAUUAGAUUAUUCCAAUUGCUUAUCUGAUAUUGAGUGCCAUCUGUUGACAACAGAGUUAACACUAUAACCUGUGUGCUCUAUUCUGGUUACUCUAUACUGAUUGCUAUGUAGUUACUUGAAUUAUUUAUGUAUCCGACAGUCCAAGUGUUUUUGGCAUCUCUUAACAAUAUUUGCUUUAGUAAUAAAUAAAAGCUCAUGCAUUUAAAAUUAAAUAAAAAAUAUAUUACUAAGAUUUAUAAAGAACACAACAAUUUAUAACGGAGACAAAUACUAAUAAUAAUUGUCUACAAGAAUUAACUAAUGAAAUGUAGAAUAUUUCAUUAGAUAAUACUUGCUUUUUGGAUCAAAUAGCUGUAAAGGUUUAUACAAUCAAGAAAACUGUACAAAUAUUUAUUCAAAAGAAAAAUGUCAUCAGUGUUGAAUGCUCAAAAUUAUAUUAUGAAAACAUCUCGCAUAAUAGCAUACAAAACAUUUAGAGAAAAAAAGUAAAUACAUUGUCUAAACUACUUUCAAAAUAUCAAAAUUUAUAUAAGUGACCAUUCAGGAGAAAAGUCAUGUCACUGUAGAAUGUGUCUGAAAGACUUUAAAAAUAAAUUAUGGCUAAUAACACACACACAAGGAUUCAUACAGGAGAGAAACCAUAUCACUGUUCAAUAUGUCAAAAAAACUUUUCACAAAAAUCAUCUCUAAUAAGGCACAUGAGGAUUCAUACAGGAGAGAAACCAUAUCACUGUUCAGCAUGUCAAAAAGACUUUUCACUUAAAUCAAAUCUAAUAACACACAAGAGGAUUCAUACAGGAGAGAAUGCAUAUCACUGUUCAGUGUGUCAAAAAGACUUUACUCGAAAAUCAAAU